AGAUUGAACGCUAGCGGGAUGCUUUACACAUGCAAGUCGAACGGCAGCGCGGACUUCGGUCUGGCGGCGAGUGGCGAACGGGUGAGUAAUAUAUCGGAACGUGCCCAGUAGCGGGGGAUAACUACGCGAAAGCGUGGCUAAUACCGCAUACGCCCUACGGGGGGAAAGGGGGGGAUUCUUCGGAACCUCUCACUAUUGGAGCGGCCGAUAUCAGAUUAGCUAGUUGGUGAGGUAAAGGCUCACCAAGGCGACGAUCUGUAGCUGGUUUGAGAGGACGACCAGCCACACUGGGACUGAGACACGGCCCAGACUCCUACGGGAGGCAGCAGGUGGGAAUUUGGACAAGUGGGGGAACCCUGAAUCCAGCCAGUCCCGCGUGUGCGAUGAA
This 388-nucleotide ribosomal RNA is filed under the name uncultured soil bacterium. RNAcentral describes it as "bacterial SSU rRNA". It matches the Rfam family "Bacterial small subunit ribosomal RNA", at positions 26 to 412 of the family's 1533-position model. The record is from RNAcentral.